This 1389-nucleotide ribosomal RNA is filed under the name Triticum aestivum (bread wheat). RNAcentral's name for it is "partial small subunit ribosomal RNA". The record is from RNAcentral. Lineage: Eukaryota; Viridiplantae; Streptophyta; Magnoliopsida; Poales; Poaceae.
UACAGCAGCUAGCCAUUCACCUAGAAAGGAGGCAUGUCAAGAUCGUCUAACGAGUAAGAAACCCUCAAGCGGCUGUCAAAACUUUCGGGUCUAGACCGGGGAGACCGUAACAAUUGCGGUCUGGUUUGGUUGGGACGGUAAGUCCGCCUGAGCUUACGACGAGACCUACGCCCGUUAUUCAACCGCAGCCGCCCGGCCCCUCCGGCGUGACACCGCUCGCCACCGCAGCCCUCCGUAGAGGCUGACAGGCGCGUCGGUUGACUGUCCCAGUUGGGUUUCCGCGAACCAACCUGUUUCUCCAAUGCGGCAUUACGCGGUGGACUGGCCUGUGGUACAGGAAGAUCCUACUCACGUGAUCUCGUCAGUUAACCGUUUACACGUCUUCUCUGACGCUUUUCACCCUUCGGCCUCCGCCUCUUAUCAUCUAGAACAUCUACGCUCACGGGACGUAACUCUUCCGAGAACGGCCGUCGACUAUUGUCAAGUAUGUACUGUCUCGUGACACCACUGUGGGCUCGUUCUUAUCUCCAAGUCAAGGGCCUGUGCAGCUCGAACCCCAGCUGUCGCUCGCGAACCUCGUGCUUGAACUGCGGCCUCGUUCCUCCGGUACCGUAGCUGCUGCACUCGCCUUUAUAACCAAGACAACACGACAGACAACCAGAAGGCUUGAACCUCUCGAAACGGGCAUGCGACGGCGGCGAAGGCUAGCGACGACGGCGCGCACGGUAGAAGGCGCGGCGGCGGCGUACGACGAGAUAGGCGCAGCGGCGACGCUACAGUAGGAGGCGAUACAGGCAGCCGGUUUGACUGUCGCGGGAGCAGAGAAAGGGGCAGCGGUGCUAGGGGCGGCGCGAGCGGCAGGGCUGCUAGAGGCUGGUGGAGCCAACGGUGUUGAAGUACGAGACCCCCCCCCCCCCGUAGUGGUCGUAGCAAGAACGGCCACGGUUGGAGGUACCUGUGGAGCUACCGUGGUUCCGCCGUGGCCGGUUUUGUGAGUAACAGCCGUGGCCGCUGCGACGGUGAUGGUAGUAGUUGGGCCUCAUGGUGGUUACCACCCAAGUUCUAGUCGCGCAGUUCCCCGAAGAAGAGUGGAGGUACCUACUCCUAUAACGUACGGUUGAGUAACCGAUGCUCAGCCGCGUACACCACACCUGUCGGUAGCGGCGGUACAAGCCGCGGGUCUCGUCGCGGAUACAGGCGGUGUAGGCCGUUGUUGAAGUCAGUGACUCCUUCCUGCUAGAUAGGCGGCGCCUUAUGUACGUGUUCUACUUCCGGGAUCGGCUGUGAUACCAGUGGGGCCGAGAGGCUAGGCACUACUACUCGAAUAGCUAGUGUAGGAGUGGCCGGAACCGAGACGGAUGUUGAGGCAGCGGCGGAGGAACCCGCACU